GGGCGUGCACAGCAAUGUGUUUGUACUAGACCUACUGGACUGAUGGACCUUUCAUUACGCAGAGGACCUGAAUGAGCUUUUUGUUAGAGUGACUCCGGUCCAGUGUAUUGUCCUAUUGUAUAAAUACUAUACACUGGAAACGAUGAAUCUAUAAUUCAUUAAAACAUCAAAUGAAGCAAGACUGUGACAGUAGGAGUUUACAUGUAGUGCCCCUGUUUAUUGCUAAUUGUGGCCUUUAAUAACAGGUGCUAUGUGUUUGCGCGUGCAAAUGAGCCACGCCCUCCCUCCCCUGGACAAAGUUAGUAGUUGAUCCGUGAGGAAGUGAAGAAGAUGCGCCUGAAUGGCGCUAUGUAGGCUAUCCGAGUGGAGACAGAGCACCAUGAGAGGACCGAGUUCACUGGAGAGACGAGACUCUUACAAACUAAAACAUAUUACACGGAGAGGACAACAGUCCUGAAACUCACCGGGAGAGAUAAAUAAAUGAAACGAAGAGAAUAAAGCA
This is a long non-coding RNA of Ictalurus punctatus (channel catfish), 502 nucleotides long. RefSeq lists it as uncharacterized. The transcript is spliced from 2 exons. The record is from RefSeq and is a predicted model, not a curated record. NCBI's taxonomy places the organism in Eukaryota, Metazoa, Chordata, Actinopteri, Siluriformes, Ictaluridae.